Molecule: ribosomal RNA, 154 nt
Filed under: uncultured Tuberaceae
Lineage: Eukaryota; Fungi; Ascomycota; Pezizomycetes; Pezizales; Tuberaceae
Description: 5.8S ribosomal RNA
Rfam family: 5.8S ribosomal RNA
About the family: 5.8S ribosomal RNA (5.8S rRNA) is a component of the large subunit of the eukaryotic ribosome.
Source: RNAcentral
AACUUUCAACAACGGAUCUCUUGGUUCUCGUAUCGAUGAAGAACGCAGCGAAAUGCGAUAAGUAAUGUGAAUUGCAGAAUUCAGUGAAUCAUCGAAUCUUUGAACGCACAUUGCGCCCCUUGGUAUUCCUUGGGGCAUGCCUGUUCGAGCGUCA